This is a long non-coding RNA of Magnolia sinica, 1053 nucleotides long. RefSeq lists it as uncharacterized. The transcript has 2 exons. Lineage: Eukaryota; Viridiplantae; Streptophyta; Magnoliopsida; Magnoliales; Magnoliaceae. The record is from RefSeq and is a predicted model, not a curated record.
UCCACCGGUUUUUCCUAUAGCUUCCGUGGUCCUUUUCACGGAGAGAGAGAGAGAGAGAGAGAGAGAGAGAGAGGAUGCGCUGCACGUGUUCCCUAACGCGGAGCUGAAGAGGAAGGAGAAGCAGAAGUAGGGGAAAUCGGGCGGCUCAGAAUCGUCGGGCCUCAACUCCAACGUCUUCCGUGGCAUCAAGUGCAAGGGCUACCCUGUCCCCACCCCCAUCCAACGCAAGACCCUACCCCUCAUCCUCUCCCUCCAGACCUUGGAAAUUCACCAAAGAGCUUGUACAGGUUUGUUUCACAGGCUUUUUGAUGCGGACAUCCGAGCACCAUACGAGAAGUGAAGCGGCUGUAGGUCUGGGUGCAGGAACUGGGAAACAUCUGUUUCAAAAUGUAAAGUAGUAUAAAUUAGUUAGGAAGCGGGAGUGGGAGAGAGAGGUCUGAAGCACAAUUCGAAGAGGGAGCGGCACCCAGUUAGAAGGAUCCUGCAACUAAGGAACUUUCUUCUGCUAUACAGAGUUGCGUACGUUCACAUUCUUUCAAGUCAUGGAAACAAAUGCCUAUGAGAAAGCAUAAAAUGGCAGUCAAAAUUUUUCUCAAAUCCGUGUGCAUUUUUCAGGGGAUUGUUGGAUGUGGGGGAAUAUGUGACAUUUGAAAGUGGGCAAGAAACACUGCUCAGUGCCUAAUGCCUAUGUGCCAGCAGAGCUGAGAGAUCCCAAACAAGUGCAGAAGAUGCGGCCGCAAAAGGCUAAUAGUCUCUUAUAUGAAGAGGUUAUCUGCGAAGGUGAAAAGGCAUGGGAAAAAUGGGAAAAGUGGAAACAAAGUCUUCAGAGCUGUAGAUUCAGAUGCUUCAUAAGCAGGUUGGAGCCCUUGGGACGCCUCUGCCAAUGCAGGGGAAAGAAAAAGAAAGGGUUCCAAAGCCUCAAUUGAUCUAGCUUUCGCUCUUUUUUCAUGUGGCCCCGUCAUUUCAGGCCAUCUUUCUUUCUUCUUAAUGUGCUGUGGCAUUUUGUUUUAUUAAUUAAUACUCUGCUUAUGCAAAUAUUGUUUUCUUUAUUCA